ACGAACGCUGGCGGCAUGCCUAACACAUGCAAGUCGAACGAGACCUUCGGGUCUAGUGGCGCACGGGUGCGUAACGCGUGGGAACCUGCCCUUAGGUUCGGAAUAACUCCCCGAAAGGGGUGCUAAUACCGGAUAAUGUCUUCGGACCAAAGAUUUAUCGCCUUUGGAUGGGCCCGCGUUGGAUUAGCUAGUUGGUAGGGUAAAAGCCUACCAAGGCGACGAUCCAUAGCUGGUCUGAGAGGAUGAUCAGCCACACUGGGACUGAGACACGGCCCAGACUCCUACGGGAGGCAGCAGUGGGGAAUAUUGGACAAUGGGCGAAAGCUUGAUCCAGCAAUGCCGCGUGAGUGAUGAAGGCCUUAGGGUUGUAAAGCUCUUUUACCCGGGAUGAUAAUGACAGUACCGGGAGAAUAAGCUCCGGCUAACUCCGUG
Molecule: ribosomal RNA, 432 nt
Filed under: uncultured bacterium
Lineage: Bacteria
Description: partial 16S ribosomal RNA
Rfam family: Bacterial small subunit ribosomal RNA
Source: RNAcentral